Molecule: small nuclear RNA, 139 nt
Organism: Ochotona curzoniae (black-lipped pika)
Lineage: Eukaryota; Metazoa; Chordata; Mammalia; Lagomorpha; Ochotonidae
Product: U4 spliceosomal RNA
Exons: 1
Source: RefSeq, a predicted model, not a curated record
AGCUUUGUGCAGUGGUAGUAUUGUAGCCAAUGAGGUUUAUUCGAGGCGCAAUUAUUGCUAAUUAAAAACUUUUCCCAAAACCCCACCGUGACGACUUGAAAUAUAGUCAGCACUGGCUUUAAAAAAAAGAGGCAGAUUU